UACGAAGGGGGCUAGCGUUGCUCGGAAUCACUGGGCGUAAAGGGUGCGUAGGCGGCUUCUUAAGUCAGGGGUGAAAUCCUGGAGCUCAACUCCAGAACUGCCUUUGAUACUGAGGAGCUUGAGUCCGGGAGAGGUGAGUGGAACUCCGAGUGUAGAGGUGAAAUUCGUAGAUAUUCGGAAGAACACCAGUGGCGAAGGCGGCUCACUGGCCCGGUACUGACGCUGAGGUGCGAAAGCGUGGGGAGCAAACAGG
RNAcentral lists this ribosomal RNA (253 nucleotides) under uncultured bacterium. Its description in RNAcentral is "partial 16S ribosomal RNA". It matches the Rfam family "Bacterial small subunit ribosomal RNA", at positions 524 to 776 of the family's 1533-position model. The record is from RNAcentral.